Non-coding RNA from Microcebus murinus (gray mouse lemur), 1242 nucleotides. Lineage: Eukaryota; Metazoa; Chordata; Mammalia; Primates; Cheirogaleidae. The record is from RefSeq and is a predicted model, not a curated record.
CCCUCCUCCACCGCAGGCAGAGCCUGCUGCAGAGUGAGCUGCAGCCUUGCCUGGCUCUGCACCAAGCCCGAGGAGAACGCCAGCCAGGCGGGCGCUGACAGCGUGCAGCGUGCAGACGGAGGAGGUCACCUGCCCGGGAGUCUGUCCCCAUUUGUCAGCCUAAAAAUCGGCAUUCCCUGACGUGUGAAAUAGUAAUAACUGUAGCGAAAGCAACGAAACGACGUGCCGCUGUGUGGUCGUCACACUAUGUCAACCCCAGACUCUGCGUUCCUGCUCACGGCUCCCAUCCACCUCCCUGGUGGACCCCAAAUAAGAGACACCUGAGUGGGCAGCCCCCGGCCGGGGAGGUGGGUUUCGAUAGGACAAUUAAAAAGGUUAGCGUUUCCAUGAUUAGUUUAUGCUUCACCCCACGUUUCAGUUAAAGAUUAAGUCUUUGCAGCAGAUUUUAGCUCAAAGGCAGGUUGGGGAGGGAGGUGGGCUAUUUUCUUUCUUUUAAACCAAACAACCCCUCGUAGAUAGAGUUGGUUUAUUUUUAACAGGGACAGAAGCACUGUGGGAAGCUGGUUUCUAGAUUUAAUUUCAGCUGCAAAUGAAAGAUGCAGCCUGGAUUGUCCGUAAUGAAAAGAGUGUGCCGGGUGGGGGGCUCUGAGAGGGGGACAGUUCCCCCAGCACGGCAACCCCAGCUGCAGGGGGGGCUGCAGCCUUCUCUCUGGCCUCACCUCUAGGCAGGGGGUGCAGGGGGGACCAGUGCACAUAAAGUGGUCCCUAUCUUCACAGAGGGCAUCCGCUAGGAGAGACAGAGGCAGAAACAACUAAGAGAAGCCCAGGCGGCAAUAAACACAAUAAGUGACAUCCAGGAAUGACAGAUGCACCUGCAGGAGUUGGGCAGGGAGACGGGAGACCUAGAGCAAAUCUUCCAACAGCCCAAAUGAAAGAAAUAAGGAGCACGUCUGCGUAAACGAACGGGAAGAAUCUCCAGGACCGCCUGUCGGCCGGAAAAACAAGAUGCAAAAACAGACUGUGUUAAAAGCAAGUUUAGGAAAUAAAUUAUGUAUAAGGAUGCCAUGAAAAUUUGGGGAAAAUACAUUUCUAUAUAGUCUGUAAAUGUAUUGUUAAAAGGCCUCCAUGUGUAUACUCGAACCAAUAAUGGUCUUUAGGAUGGGACAAGAGGGAUUUGGGUUUCGGGUUGGAGGUCAGAGUGGACUUUAGUCUUUUUCUGUAAUUUCUUUUUCGUUAAGAAUA